GGGACUAAGCCAUGCGAGUCAACGUAGAAAUACGUGGCAAACGGCUCAGUAACACGUAGUCAACAUGCCCAGGGGACGUGGAUAACCUCGGGAAACUGAGGAUAAACCACGAUAGGCCAUGAUUUCUGGAAUGGUUCAUGGCCGAAAUCUAUAUGGCCCCUGGAUUGGACUGCGGCCGAUCAGGCUGCUGGUGAGGUAAUGGCCCACCAAACCUGUAACCGGUACGGGCUCUGAGAGGAGGAGCCCGGAGAUGGGCACUGAGACAAGGGCCCAGGCCCUAUGGGGCGCAGCAGGCGCGAAAUCUCUGCAAUAGGCGAAAGCUUGACAGGGUUACUCUGAGUGAUUCCCGCUAAGGGGAUCUUUUGGCACCUUUAAAAAUGGUGCAGAAUAAGGGGUGGGCAAGUCUGGUGUCAGCCGCCGCGGUAAUACCAGCACCCCGAG
This 441-nucleotide ribosomal RNA is filed under the name uncultured archaeon. Its description in RNAcentral is "bacterial SSU rRNA". It matches the Rfam family "Archaeal small subunit ribosomal RNA", at positions 40 to 488 of the family's 1478-position model. The record is from RNAcentral.